RNAcentral lists this long non-coding RNA (477 nucleotides) under Phoenix dactylifera (date palm). Its description in RNAcentral is "long non-coding RNA (PDAC_LNC022975)". The record is from RNAcentral. Lineage: Eukaryota; Viridiplantae; Streptophyta; Magnoliopsida; Arecales; Arecaceae.
AACUUUGCCAAAAUGGAUUCUUGAGUUUUCUACCAUUCUCUAUUACAAAUUUUAUCUCGUUUAUCAAUUCUUGAGAGUGGUUCUAACCAUAUAGUCCUAAUGUAUCAUGAGUGUAUCAAGGGUGUGCCAUUUAUCAAUGAUGUAUCGAGUUAAUUUGCAUUUUUAAUUUGAUAUGGCCUCAAUAGUUGUGUUAAUCAUCAAAAUAACAUUAUCAUCCUCAAUCUCCCCCUUUUUGAUGAUUACAAAAUAUUGAGUGUAAGCAAAUUGGCAUUCAUAUGAAAAGUUAGAUUUAACAUUCAUAAAGUACUUUUGGUUCAAGAGUUUCAAAGUAGUCUUAUUUAGAGUUUGUAUAAAUGAACCAAAAACUCCCCCUAUCCUAUCCAAAUGGAUGCCAAAUGAGUUUUAGCUUUGCUCCCCCUUACUCUUGUAUUUCAUUAAGACAAAAUUUUCGAAAGUUUGUGUCAAAGCAAGAGUUUC